GAUGAACGCUAGCGGCAGGCCUAAUACAUGCAAGUCGUACGGCAACACAGUUGCGAGCAAUCGCAACCGGUGGCGAGUGGCGCACGGGUGAGUAACGCGUAUGUAACCUACCCUUCUCCGGGACAUAACUCCGCGAAAGCGGUGCUAAUAUCCCAUACCAACUCAUCAAGACAUCUUCUUGAGUUGAAAGCAGCAAUGCGGUGAAGGAUGGGCAUGCGUCCCAUUAGCUGGUUGGUGAGGUAAUGGCCCACCAAGGCUACGAUGGGUAGGGGUUCUGAGAGGAAGCCCCCCAACUGGUACUGAGACACGGACCAGACUCCUACGGGAGGCAGCAGUAAGGAAUAUUGGGCAAUGGUCGAAAGACUGACCCAGCCAUGCCGCGUGCAGGAUGAAGGCCCUAUGGGUUGUAAACUGCUUUUAGCCGGGAAUAAACACCCGUUUUAUAACGGGCCCGAAGGUACCGGUGAAUAAGCAUCGGCUAACUCCGUGCCAGCA
RNAcentral lists this ribosomal RNA (495 nucleotides) under uncultured bacterium. RNAcentral's name for it is "bacterial SSU rRNA". It matches the Rfam family "Bacterial small subunit ribosomal RNA", at positions 28 to 513 of the family's 1533-position model. The record is from RNAcentral.